This 438-nucleotide ribosomal RNA is filed under the name uncultured bacterium. RNAcentral describes it as "bacterial SSU rRNA". It matches the Rfam family "Bacterial small subunit ribosomal RNA", at positions 954 to 1392 of the family's 1533-position model. The record is from RNAcentral.
GCUUAACGCGAAGAACCUUACCUACUCUUGACAUCCAGAGAACUUAGCAGAGAUGCUUUGGUGCCUUCGGGAACUCUGAGACAGGUGCUGCAUGGCUGUCGUCAGCUCGUGUUGUGAAAUGUUGGGUUAAGUCCCGCAACGAGCGCAACCCUUAUCCUUUGUUGCCAGCGGUCCGGCCGGGAACUCAAAGGAGACUGCCAGUGAUAAACUGGAGGAAGGUGGGGAUGACGUCAAGUCAUCAUGGCCCUUACGAGUAGGGCUACACACGUGCUACAAUGGCGUAUACAAAGAGAAGCGACCUCGCGAGAGCAAGCGGACCUCAUAAAGUACGUCGUAGUCCGGAUUGGAGUCUGCAACUCGACUCCAUGAAGUCGGAAUCGCUAGUAAUCGUGGAUCAGAAUGCCACGGUGAAUACGUUCCCGGGUCUUGUACACACCG